This 253-nucleotide ribosomal RNA is filed under the name uncultured bacterium. RNAcentral describes it as "partial 16S ribosomal RNA". It matches the Rfam family "Bacterial small subunit ribosomal RNA", at positions 524 to 776 of the family's 1533-position model. The record is from RNAcentral.
UACAGGGGGGGCAAGCGUUGUUCGGAAUUACUGGGCGUAAAGGGUUCGUAGGUGGCCAACUAAGUCAGACGUGAAAUCCCUCAGCUUAACUGGGGAACUGCGUCUGAUACUGGGUGGCUUGAAUCCGGGAGAGGGAUGCGGAAUUCCAGGUGUAGCGGUGAAAUGCGUAGAUAUCUGGAGGAACACCGGUGGCGAAGGCGGCAUCCUGGACCGGCAUUGACGCUGAGGCGCGAAAGCCAGGGGAGCAAACGGG